GAGAAUCGCGGGAAGAGAGGGGGGGGAAAACGUGGUGGGGAAGGGGUGACGGGAAGUGUAGGGCGGAAAGCGAGAGAAAGGGGGACGGAAAGUCGGAGGGGAAAGGGCACGGCUGAAGCGUGGAGGGGAAGUGGAAACGGGGGGACUUGAGUGCAGAAGAGGAAAGCGGAAUUCGACGGGGAGGGGGGAAAUGCGGAGAGAUGUGGAGGAACACCAGUGGCGAAGGCGGCUUGCUGGGCUGUAACUGACGCUGAGGCGCGAAAGCGUGGGGAGCAAACAGGAUUAGAUACCCCAGUAGUC
This 300-nucleotide ribosomal RNA is filed under the name uncultured Bacillus sp. RNAcentral describes it as "partial 16S ribosomal RNA". The stretch from base 59 to 300 matches the Rfam family "Bacterial small subunit ribosomal RNA", at positions 554 to 795 of the family's 1533-position model. Lineage: Bacteria; Bacillati; Bacillota; Bacilli; Caryophanales; Bacillaceae. The record is from RNAcentral.